GAUGAACGCUAGCUACAGGCUUAACACAUGCAAGUCGAGGGGCAGCAUCAUCAAGGCUUGCUUUGAUGGAUGGCGACCGGCGCACGGGUGAGUAACACGUAUCCAACCUGCCGACAACACUGGGAUAGCCUUUCGAAAGAAAGAUUAAUACCGGAUGGCAUAGUUUUCCCGCAUGGGAUAAUUAUUAAAGAAUUUCGGUUGUCGAUGGGGAUGCGUUCCAUUAGGCAGUUGGCGGGGUAACGGCCCACCAAACCAACGAUGGAUAGGGGUUCUGAGAGGAAGGUCCCCCACAUUGGAACUGAGACACGGUCCAAACUCCUACGGGAGGCAGCAGUGAGGAAUAUUGGUCAAUGGACGAGAGUCUGAACCAGCCAAGUAGCGUGAAGGAUGACUGCCCUAUGGGUUGUAAACUUCUUUUAUACGGGAAUAAAGUUAGCCACGUGUGGCUUUUUGUAUGUACCGUAUGAAUAAGGAUCGGCUAACUCCGUGCCAGCAGCCGCGGUAAUACGGAGGAUCCGAGCGUUAUCCGGAUUUAUUGGGUUUAAAGGGAGCGUAGGCGGGUUGUUAAGUCAGUUGUGAAAGUUUGCGGCUCAACCGUAAAAUUGCAGUUGAUACUGGCGACCUUGAGUGCAACAGAGGUAGGCGGAAUUCGUGGUGUAGCGGUGAAAUGCUUAGAUAUCACGAAGAACUCCGAUUGCGAAGGCAGCUUACUGGAUUGUAACUGACGCUGAUGCUCGAAAGUGUGGGUAUCAAACAGGAUUAGAUACCCUGGUAGUCCACACAGUAAACGAUGAAUACUCGCUGUUGGCGAUAUACAGUCAGCGGCCAAGCGAAAGCAUUAAGUAUUCCACCUGGGGAGUACGCCGGCAACGGUGAAACUCAAAGGAAUUGACGGGGGCCCGCACAAGCGGAGGAACAUGUGGUUUAAUUCGAUGAUACGCGAGGAACCUUACCCGGGCUUAAAUUGCAACUGACUGAACCGGAAACGGUUCUUUCUUCGGACAGUUGUGAAGGUGCUGCAUGGUUGUCGUCAGCUCGUGCCGUGAGGUGUCGGCUUAAGUGCCAUAACGAGCGCAACCCUUAUCGAUAGUUACUAGCAGGUCAUGCUGAGGACUCUAUUGAGACUGCCGUCGUAAGAUGUGAGGAAGGUGGGGAUGACGUCAAAUCAGCACGGCCCUUACGUGGGGGGCUACACACGUGUUACAAUGGGGGGUACAGAAGGCAGCUACACGGCGACGUGGUGCUAAUCCCGAAAGCCUCUCUCAGUUCGGAUUGGAGUCUGCAACCCGACUCCAUGAAGCUGGAUUCGCUAGUAAUCGCGCAUCAGCCACGGCGCGGUGAAUACGUUCCCGGGCCUUGCAC
RNAcentral lists this ribosomal RNA (1362 nucleotides) under uncultured bacterium. RNAcentral's name for it is "16S ribosomal RNA". It matches the Rfam family "Bacterial small subunit ribosomal RNA", at positions 28 to 1386 of the family's 1533-position model. The record is from RNAcentral.